GGACUACCGGGGUAUCUAAUCCUUUUCGCUACCCACGCUUUCGUGUUUCAGUGUCAGGAAUGGCCCAAUGUGCUGCCUUCGCUUUCGGUGUUCCCCAUGAUAUCAACGGAUUUCACCCCUACUCCAUGAGUUCCACACAUCCCUGCCAUCCUCUAGCCGUGCCGUUUCAACCGCUUUCCCCGGGUUAUGCCCGGGUCUUUAACAAUUGACUAACACAACCACCUACACACCCUUUACGCCCAAUGAUUCCGGAUAACGCUCGGGGCACUCGUAUUACCGCGGCUGCUGGCAC
This 292-nucleotide ribosomal RNA is filed under the name uncultured bacterium. RNAcentral's name for it is "partial 16S ribosomal RNA". The record is from RNAcentral.